GAUGAACGCUGGCGGCGUGCCUAAUACAUGCAAGUCGAGCGAACAGACGAGGAGCUUGCUCCUCUGACGUUAGCGGCGGACGGGUGAGUAACACGUGGAUAACCUACCUAUAAGACUGGGAUAACUUCGGGAAACCGGAGCUAAUACCGGAUAAUAUAUUGAACCGCAUGGUUCAAUAGUGAAAGACGGUUUUGCUGUCACUUAUAGAUGGAUCCGCGCCGCAUUAGCUAGUUGGUAAGGUAACGGCUUACCAAGGCAACGAUGCGUAGCCGACCUGAGAGGGUGAUCGGCCACACUGGAACUGAGACACGGUCCAGACUCCUACGGGAGGCAGCAGUAGGGAAUCUUCCGCAAUGGGCGAAAGCCUGACGGAGCAACGCCGAGUGAGUGAUGAAGGUCUUCGGAUCGUAAAACUCUGUUAUUAGGGAAGAACAAAUGUGUAAGUAACUAUGCACGUCUUGGCGGGACCUAAUCAGAAAGCCACGGCUAACUACGU
This 496-nucleotide ribosomal RNA is filed under the name uncultured bacterium. Its description in RNAcentral is "partial 16S ribosomal RNA". It matches the Rfam family "Bacterial small subunit ribosomal RNA", at positions 28 to 506 of the family's 1533-position model. The record is from RNAcentral.